CCUACGGGGGGCAGCAGUGGGGGAUAUUGCACAAUGGGGGGAACCCUGAUGCAGCGACGCCGCGUGGGUGAAGAAGCGCCUCGGCGCGUAAAGCCCUGUCAGCAGGGAAGCAAAUGACGGUACCUGACGAAGAAGCCCCGGCUAACUACGUGCCAGCAGACGCGGUAAUACGUAGGGGGCAAGCGUUAUCCGGAUUUACUGGGUGUAAAGGGGGCGCAGACGGCGAGGCAAGCCAGGAGUGAAAGCCCGGGGCCCCACCCCGGGACUGCCCUUGGAACUGCGUGGCUGGAGUGCAGGAGGGGCAGGCGGAAUGCGUGGUGUAGCGGUGAAAUGCGUAGAUAUCAGGAGGAACACCGGUGGCGAAGGCGGCCUGCUGGACUGCAACUGACGUUGAGGCCCGAAAGCGUGGGGAGCAAACAGGAUUAGAUACCCCGGUAGUC
RNAcentral lists this ribosomal RNA (440 nucleotides) under uncultured bacterium. RNAcentral describes it as "partial 16S ribosomal RNA". It matches the Rfam family "Bacterial small subunit ribosomal RNA", at positions 338 to 795 of the family's 1533-position model. The record is from RNAcentral.